GACGUAUCACAUUUUAGGACAACGCUUCCUUUCCACUUAUUUUGUGCUUAUUGCUUAAUUAAAUUUAAACUUGCACCUCGUAUCUUGUGCUUAUUGCUUAAUUAAAUUUAAACUUCAACCACUUUUGUUUUUACUUAUCUUGUGCUUAUUGCUUAAUUAAAUUUAAACUCGCGCUUUCCUUGAAAUUUAAGGUUGGCGCCUGUUUUAAAACUCUCUCCCUUUCCUUCUCAUUUGGGUGUGCGUGCAACAGAAGAGAAAUAAAGCAUCAGAGACAAGACAACCUCAUAACUAGGAAACCAGAGAAAAGAGAACCUUGAUUUCAUGGGUCCCAGAAGGAGGAAUUGGCGGAGGAAGAAAGCAGUUCCCGUGGAUGCAAUCCCCGCUCAGCAAGGAACACAGUCUGUGGAUUUUGAUGCUUUGUGUGAGGCCAAUGAGGGGAAAGUAAUGAACUUGACUGAGAACAAUGAUGUUGGGGGAGGUUUUUCUUGUGUUCAGGAAGGUAAGAAGUGUGGUAGUAAGAGUAAAGAGGAGAUGGAGGGGAGGGCAUUAGAGGGUAAUUUGGAGGAGGAGAAGAAAGAUGCACAAGACGAAAGCCACGGUAGAAAUGGUGGUGGGGUUGGAGGUUCUCCUUCUGUCGAGGUGGUUGUGAAGAAGAAGCGUGGCAGAAAAAGUAACAAGGAAAAGGAGGAGAUGAUGAUGUUGGAGGGAAAUUUGUUGAAGAAAGAUAGUAAUGAGGAUAGCCACGAUGUAAAGGGUGUUGGAGGUUCUUCUUCUGUUAAGGAAGUGAAGAGGAAGCGUGGGAGGAAAAGUAAAAAGGAGUUAGAGAAGAAAGAUGCUCAAAAGAAAAGCCACGAUGAAAAGGUUGUCGGAGGUUUUUCUUCUGUUAAAGUGAAGAAGAAGCCUGGAAGAAAAAGUAUAAAGGAAUUGGAGGAGAUGAUGUUGGAGAAGAGAGAUACUCAAGACGGUAGCAACGGUGAAAAUGGUGUUGGAGGUUCUUCAGUCAAAGAUGUGAUGAAGAAUAAGCGUGGCAGAAAAAGGAAAACGGAGGAAGAUGAGAUGAAGAUGUUGGAGAAGAAAGAUACUCAAGAUGAUAGCCACGGUGUAAAUGGUGUUGGAGGUUCUUCUUUUGUUAAGGAAGUGAAGAAGAAUAAGCGUGGCAGAAAAAGUACCAAGGAGAAGGAGGUGGAGGAUAUGGAGCAAAAGAUGUCAGAGGGCAAUUUGUUGGAGAAUGAGGACACUCAAGACAAAAACCACGGUGAAAAGGGUGGGGUUUCUGAGCAAAGAGGCGGUAGAAAGAGAAAGAUUCUUAAGAAAGAUGACUGGGAGUUUGAAAUGCCUGCGGAUUCUUCAGGAAGGGGCAGAAAAUAUAGCCUAAGGGGCGGUAAGGUCAAUGAAGAAGAGGAGGAAGAAGAACCAAAACUCAACAAGAAGGAUUCUAAGUGGAUUGAAGAGGUGUCCUUAAUGUGUCAUCAGUGUCAGAGAAAUGACAAAGGCGAGGUUGUGAGGUGCACACUUUGUAAGAGGAAGAGAUUUUGCCUACCCUGUUUAAAAAAUUGGUAUCCUCAUUUGAAAAAUGAUGAUGUUGCCGAGGCAUGUCCUGUAUGCCGUGGUAAUUGCAACUGCAAAGCAUGUCUGAAAUCUGAUGCCCUUAUUAAAAAAAUGAGGGAAAAAGCAGCAGAGACCAUUGAAGACGAGAAGGUUGAACUCUCUAUGCAUUUGCUGCAAGUACUUCUUCCGUAUUUAAGGCUGUUGGAAGAAGAACAGAUGAUUGAGAAUGAGACAGAAGCGAAAAUACUGGGGCUCUCAGUCUCAAAGCUGAAUAUAGUAAAGGCAGAUUUCUCUCCAAAGGAGCGUGUGUACUGUGACAACUGCAAAACGUCAAUAUUUGAUUACCACAGAAGCUGCACAAAGUGCUCCUUUGAUCUUUGUCUCAUCUGUUGCCGUGAGCUUCGUAGAGGGCAGCUUAUAGGGGGUGCAGAUCCAUUUGCAUUGCAGUUUGUCUGGAAAGGUAAGAAUUACUUGCAUGGUGGAAAAGAAGAUAAAAAGGCAGACCAAAAUACACCAAAUGUUAAUGCUAAGCCUGUAGUUCGUGAAUGGUCAAGAUCUGGGUGGCAUGCAGAAAGUGAUGGGAGCAUUCCUUGUCCAAAAGCCAAUAGUGAAUGUAACCAUGGUUCUCUUGAACUGAGAAGCAUAUUGGGUCAACAUUUUAUCUCUGAGUUAGUGGGUAAAGCGAAUGAACUAGCUCAAGCAUACAAGCUUCAAGAUGUAGUUAAGACCCCUGACAACAUGUGUUCGUGUUUGAGUCAUGAUGAAAAUGCAGAUGUUGGAUAUAAUAAUACGAGGAAGGCUGCUUCUCGUGAAGAUUCCUGUGACAACUAUUUAUAUUGUCCUCGGGCUGUAGAUCUACAGGACGAGGAUGUAAGGCAUUUUCAGUGGCAUUGGGAAAAGGGGGAGCCUGUUGUUGUCAGCAAUGUGCUUGAAUGUACAUCUGGUUUAAGCUGGGAACCACUUGUCAUGUGGCGUGCAUGCCGUCAGAUGACUUUUACCAAGCGUGAACACCAUUUGGAUGUUAAGGCCAUUGAUUGCUUAGAUUGGUGUGAGGGAGAAAUUAAUAUCCACCAAUUCUUCACUGGGUAUACAAAAGGUCGUGAGGAUUGGCGUUCUUGGCCUCAGAUACUGAAAUUAAAAGAUUGGCCUCCUUCUAAUUUAUUCGAGGAACGUCUGCCUCGUCAUUGUGCUGAGUUUAUAUCUUUCUUGCCCUUCAAGGAAUAUACUGAUCCUCUCGGAGGUUCUCUUAACCUUGCUGUGAGGUUGCCUAAAGAUUGUCUGAAGCCAGACAUGGGGCCAAAGACAUAUAUUGCUUAUGGAUUUUCUCAGGAGCUUGGACGUGGUGAUUCAGUGACUAAGCUCCAUUGUGAUAUGUCCGAUGCAGUAAAUGUGCUGACUCAUAUAUCUGAAGUGAAAUUGGAUUCAAGGCAACUUACUGCCAUUGAGAAGUUGAAACAAAAGCACUUUGAGCAAGACAAAAGGGAACUUCUUGGUGAUAAUCUGGAUGGAGAAUCUAAUGUUGACUUGCUUAAUAAUUCAUCUUCUACCAUAAAUGAUUUAGACAAGCAAAAUACUGACCAAGUCAUGGAACAUGGAGGUGGAUUUGGUGCUGGGAUAGAAGUUGAUCAAUUUCAGCAGCCCUCUGGUGGUAAUGAGGUUGCCAUUGCUAAUGAAGAUGGUCUUUCAUGUGGAUCAGAACUCAAAGAGGUUGAGAAAGUGAAAGUAAAACAAGAAAGUGAUCUGUUAUUUGCUGGGGAUGCUUUAGAAGGUGCUCUCUGGGAUAUUUUUCGGAGGCAGGAUGUACCUAAAUUGCAGGAAUAUCUGAAGAAGCAUUUCAGAGAGUUCAGGCAUGUCCAUUGCUGUCCUAUAACACAGGUUAUUCAUCCCAUCCAUGACCAAACCUUCUAUCUGACCAUGGAGCAUAAGAGGAAGCUUAAGCAGGAGUAUGGAGUUGAGCCCUGGACUUUUAUUCAAAAGGUAGGUGAUGCUGUUUUCAUUCCAGCUGGUUGUCCUCAUCAAGUCAGAAAUCUGAAGUCAUGUAUUAAGGUUGCAUUGGAUUUUGUCUCUCCUGAAAAUGUUGGGGAGUGCUUUCGUUUGGCAGAGGAAUUUCGCACACUUCCAAUAAACCACAUGUCUACGGAGGACAAAUUGGAGAGAUCCAAUUCUCACCAUGAUGUUUAGGUGCAAAAAAAAAGGGAGAUGCUAUCCCAAAUAUAUGCUGAGAUUCUGGAUAAAUGAGAAAAAGGCUUGAUAAUUUGGACACCAUUCUACCAUUGUUAAAGGAUUGGCUAAGCAAAAUGAGCUUGUUAAUGGAGAAUAUCUUGCAAGAAGUUCUAACCAUGUUAGAACUAGUCAACCACACAAUCAAACGACAUACUUUGAUGCUCAUUCAUCCAAUGUAUUUAUGAAGGUGAAGAAGAUGACGGUAUAUGCUAUGAAACAUGUGAUCGAAAAAUUGGAGAAAGCAAGGUUCGGGAAAACCGAGGUUCCGGAGUAGAUAAAUAUCAGAUCAAAGCCAAUUGGAGGUGUAAAUUUUGAGUUCAUUACCUUAGCUUAUUCAGGUGUGAUAAUGUUGGGAUCUAUUUACGGUUCCAUAUUUUGUUUUAGCAACCACACCUGAAAGCAUCAUACAUGACUUGAACGAAGGUGUACAUCAUACCUAGUGUACUUUCUGAACUUCAAAAUGCAUAGAUGAUGAUGAUUCUAUGUUGCAUAUGUGGCAAAA
Cajanus cajan (pigeon pea) is the source of this 4273-nucleotide RNA transcript. It is a transcript of the gene named lysine-specific demethylase JMJ26, with no coding region annotated. The record is from RefSeq and is a predicted model, not a curated record. NCBI's taxonomy places the organism in Eukaryota, Viridiplantae, Streptophyta, Magnoliopsida, Fabales, Fabaceae.